GAAAUUCACUGCAAUUGCUGAGAGAUGAUCAUUGUUUAGGUCUAAAGGUAAUCGAAGGUCCAGUUUUUGCAGAUUACACCUGCAAUUGUUAAUGAAAUGAAGGAAGCCUUCUCUGCUACCACCAUCAUAAACCAAAAGAGAAUUCAAAGAUUCACAAUUCUCUGCCAAUCUUAUUAAAACCCCAUCAACUAUACUCCUACAAGUCCUUAGCUCCAGUUCUUGGAGAACAUUCAAGCACCUGAUAAAUGAUAAAAAGGAUCCUCCAUCACCUAUACCUUCACAGUUCUUUAACUGCAAUUUCUUGAGUUUUUUGCAGCUUCUCCAUAACC
This 329-nucleotide unclassified non-coding RNA is filed under the name Hevea brasiliensis (rubber tree). Lineage: Eukaryota; Viridiplantae; Streptophyta; Magnoliopsida; Malpighiales; Euphorbiaceae. The record is from RNAcentral.